This 253-nucleotide ribosomal RNA is filed under the name uncultured bacterium. RNAcentral describes it as "partial 16S ribosomal RNA". It matches the Rfam family "Bacterial small subunit ribosomal RNA", at positions 524 to 776 of the family's 1533-position model. The record is from RNAcentral.
UACGGGGGGGGCAAGCGUUGUUCGGAAUUACUGGGCGUAAAGGGCUCGUAGGUGGCCAAUUAAGUCAGACGUGAAAUCCCCAGGCUUAACCUGGGAACUGCGUCUGAUACUGGUUGGCUUGAAUUCGGGAGAGGGAUGCAGAAUUCCAGGUGUAGCGGUGAAAUGCGUAGAUAUCUGGAGGAACACCGGUGGCGAAGGCGGCAUCCUGGACCGGCAUUGACGCUGAGGCGCGAAAGCUAGGGGAGCAAACGGG